Malania oleifera is the source of this 321-nucleotide long non-coding RNA. RefSeq lists it as uncharacterized. NCBI's taxonomy places the organism in Eukaryota, Viridiplantae, Streptophyta, Magnoliopsida, Santalales, Ximeniaceae. The transcript has 3 exons. The record is from RefSeq and is a predicted model, not a curated record.
AGUUCCAGGGUGUUGAUUGGGAACGUGGGAAAUCAUCCCUAAGUUGAGGGUGUUGAGUUGAGAACCUUGUGGGUACGGGGGAGAUUUUCUUAGGGGCUUUUCAGGAAUCAGGAGCCCCUGAUAGGAGAGCGGGAAAAGCCCCGCUGAUCUAGAUCAGUUGGUUGCCCUCUUUGGAAGGGUAAGUUUUUGGUAGGGACAGUUAGGUUUUUGUGGGGAUUGUCCCUAGAUUUCAUUUUUGGGAUGUAUAUACUGUGAGAUAGUAAUUGUAGUGACUCUGGUAUGUGUUAUGCACAUUGUGAUGAGAUGUAUAUAAUUUUGUAC